Long non-coding RNA from Triticum dicoccoides, 866 nucleotides. RefSeq lists it as uncharacterized. The transcript has 2 exons. The record is from RefSeq and is a predicted model, not a curated record. NCBI's taxonomy places the organism in Eukaryota, Viridiplantae, Streptophyta, Magnoliopsida, Poales, Poaceae.
CUCACCCGCCCGAUCCGGCCGCCACCGCCCCCCUACGACCACUACCAGAGCUACUCUGCGCGACAUUUGGUCGCCCGCAAUCGCGGAUCCCUGCCGUCGCGCCGGCGGAUGACUCAGCACUCCCUACAUCGACGAAGAAGGUGAAAAUCGCAUUAGUGCAGCUCACUCCGUCCGUUGUUUUUUUGGGCUCAAAUGCAGGUCACUACGUCCACAUCGUUGGUGCUUCGAGGGGCGGCCUGCACUUAGCCCCUACCCUCCGUGUCCUAGCGGACACCACAUGCGGGCGACUGCACCCAUCGUCAGCACGAGAAGGGGUCCUCCGACGAGUGCGCGUGCAGUACCCUUUAGGGGUGAGGCACUUGCUUUUUGGCUGUCGACACCUCCAUCACCCAGUUUUGGCUGUCGAUGGAGACCAUCGGUGAAGUUUGCCACCUCCCCGCCUUCUACUGCCGCUCUGAGUGGGCAUGCAGAUUCUGCAGGGCUCCAGCCCGGCGUGCACAGCUCGUGCGCACACAUGAUCCGGUUCAGUGCUAGGGCACUCGCAGUCUUUUUUGCGUGCAGCUGCAGUCCGUUUGGACUCCGUGUGCAGUGAAGUUCGGGCGAGCCAUGAUGACAGAAAAGGAAGGAAAUUAAGUGGGUCGAAAAGGGAACAGAAUUAAAACCCCACUUCCCGAGGAGACAACAAUCCGCAAGCAUCAUGCGCAUGCAGUUCCUUUUGUAUAUGCUUACAAUGCGGUGUGUGUAUGUGUGAUGUACACCCCCAUCGCUUAUUUUGUGUGGCAGCUCAUUAGACCUCUGUAUGAAGUGCGUCGCCUGUCUCGAGUACAUUAACAUUUGCAGUGCGUUUGGUCGCCGGAUGUGGUUCA